GAAAAUCUCCCAUGUAAAAAUGCUUCUCAACAAUAAGUAUUCGUACUCUUUACCAUAAUAAAGUCAAUCUCUAAAAAGUUUAAUGUUAUUAUUUUGAGAAAAAAAUAAUUGAAAAGAAAAGAAAAAAGGAGGUUAUGCCAAAUACAAAAAGUCGAAAAACUCCUUCGUUAGAGCGAAAGUGAUUUCACACAAAACCCAAGGAGUAGGACAGUCAAGGUGAACGAAGCAUCGGCGUAUGAGAGAGAGAGAAGUAUGGGACUGUCAAGCAGAGUAGGAGAUUGGGCUUUCAAGGCGUUCACCGCUAGUCUAGGCGUCGCCACCAUUUAUCUCACCGCCACUUUCUCCGUCAACGUCUAUAGAGGCCUCGCUUGGCACAACGCUCAGUCGGUACUUUCUUACUUCUUAUUCCCCCUUCUCUUCCUCUUCUGGCCUGACCUAGGGCUUUGCUUUUCACUUAUGGCUUAUUCGUUUUGUCUUAAAUAUCAAUCAGCUGAUCCUAAUACUUAUGUUUUCACUCAUCAUUUCCGUUCCUCAAUAACGAUCCAUAAAAUUUCCAGCUUUAUAUAUCAUCUUAGAGAUAUGUACAAUAUGGGCUAUUCUGUAAAUUGCUAAAAUUCGAACCUCUAGGUUUUAAUAGGCAGGUGUUAGUGAUUAUUGUAUGAGCUAAAUCCAUGUGGGUUGUUCUAGUCAGCGAUAAUUCCUAUAACAAAAAAAUAAUAAAAAUUAUCUUAUUUAAGGAAUGAAGGGGAAUCUGGGAAGAUUAACACAUGAUCCAGUAAUGACUUGGAAUUUGUGUAGGCAUCUCUUCGGUUCUGUUUAUUUGAGCAUCUUGAAAGACUUGGAAACUGUGUUCAUGUCAAAAGGAUUGGAUCUUGUUUGCUUAGCCAUCGCCAUGUAGGAACAACUGACCUAGUGGCACCUACGUCAAUGAAAGUUGAGUAUGUGAAAUUCUUUCAACUGAAGCUUGCAAGAGAACUUUAAAACAUUGGCCAGAAUGCAAG
Molecule: unclassified non-coding RNA, 1001 nt
Filed under: Hevea brasiliensis (rubber tree)
Lineage: Eukaryota; Viridiplantae; Streptophyta; Magnoliopsida; Malpighiales; Euphorbiaceae
Source: RNAcentral